RNAcentral lists this unclassified non-coding RNA (222 nucleotides) under Hevea brasiliensis (rubber tree). The record is from RNAcentral. Lineage: Eukaryota; Viridiplantae; Streptophyta; Magnoliopsida; Malpighiales; Euphorbiaceae.
UUAAAAUAUCACUUAAAAUUUGCACCUUUAGAACAUUUGGAAUGAUUUCGUAGUUUUGUCAGAAUGAGAUCGUCAUUGCGCAAUAAAUGUAUUACCAAUUCAAAGGUGGUGGCAUCUGCAGAGAAUCCUUUAUCAACCAUUUCAUCAAUAAGCUGUGUUGCCUUUGCUACAUCCUUAUGCCAGAGAAACCCUUGAAUAAUCACAUAUAACAGCAACCAUUUG